This 831-nucleotide long non-coding RNA is filed under the name Olea europaea (common olive). RNAcentral's name for it is "long non-coding RNA (OEUR_LNC005580)". Lineage: Eukaryota; Viridiplantae; Streptophyta; Magnoliopsida; Lamiales; Oleaceae. The record is from RNAcentral.
GGUUUUAGUUAGACUCAUGAGGUAUAAAUGGAUCAAGUAAUAUAGAUCAAAUGAAAUGUGAAUUCGAGGUUUCAAGUGCUUUGAUGAAUGUUGAAGUGGUUUGGUGAGAAUUGAAGUUUAUUCAUGUUGGAGUUCUUGGUUAAAUCGUUGUAUGACAUAUGAUAUCUACGAGAUAGUUGUUGUUAGAUAUGAUCUUGAAUGUAUAGUAGCCCUAAUUUGAUUUUUUCUUCUUCACUGUAUACGAUCAGCCUGAAGUCAAGUUUGUAGAUGAAUAUAAUUGGGACAAGAUAGAAAAUUAAGUAGCCAUUCUUGCAGGUUCAUUGUUAAAAGUGUAUAUGGACACAUAUGAAGGAUAUUGUGACUACCAAUUUAAAUGUUCUGUGAAUGUUUCACAAUGCUUUUAAGUGCUUAUGAUAUCUACGAGAUAGUUGUUGUUAGAUAUGAUCUUGAAUGUAUAGUAGCCCUAAUUUGAUUUUUUCUUCUUCACUGUAUACGAUCAGCCUGAAGUCAAGUUUGUAGAUGAAUAUAAUUGGGACAAGAUAGAAAAUUAAGUAGCCAUUCUUGCAGGUUCAUUGUUAAAAGUGUAUAUGGACACAUAUGAAGGAUAUUGUGACUACCAAUUUAAAUGUUCUGUGAAUGUUUCACAAUGCUUUUAAGUGCUUGUAAGCUGGUGAAACAUCAUUUUUCGAUCACAUAUUUUUUAGAACUUUUAUCUACUUUUAAACACAGCUUUUAAUUGUAUGCAAAUAUUUACUACCUCAUUCGCCUUAGUUCAUGUAUUCAGAUUUAUAUUGUCCAAACUUUUGUUGUAAUGGUUUUUUUUCCCCUUUC